RNAcentral lists this non-coding RNA (45 nucleotides) under Schistosoma mattheei. The record is from RNAcentral. Lineage: Eukaryota; Metazoa; Platyhelminthes; Trematoda; Strigeidida; Schistosomatidae.
AUCCAGCUGACGAGUCCCAAAUAGGACUAAACGCGCGUCCUCGAU